GACAGCAGCAGCCGCGGGAAUACGGAGGGUGCAAGCGUUAAUCGGAAUUACUGGGCGUAAAGCGCACGCAGGCGGUCUGACAAGUCAGAUGUGAAAUCCCCGGGCUUAACCUGGGAACUGCAUUUGAAACUGUCAGGCUGGAGUCUUGUAGAGGGGGGUGGAAUUCCAGGUGUAGCGGUGAAAUGCGUAGAGAUCUGGAGGAAUACCGGUGGCGAAGGCGGCCCCCUGGACAAAGACUGACGCUCAGGUGCGAAAGCGUGGGGAGCAAACAGGAUUAGAUACCCCAGUAGUCCCUGUCUCUUAUAC
Molecule: ribosomal RNA, 306 nt
Filed under: uncultured bacterium
Lineage: Bacteria
Description: partial 16S ribosomal RNA
Rfam family: Bacterial small subunit ribosomal RNA
Source: RNAcentral